This 255-nucleotide ribosomal RNA is filed under the name uncultured bacterium. Its description in RNAcentral is "partial 16S ribosomal RNA". It matches the Rfam family "Bacterial small subunit ribosomal RNA", at positions 524 to 776 of the family's 1533-position model. The record is from RNAcentral.
CACGUAGGGGGCGAGCGUUGUCCGGAUUCAUUGGGCGUAAAGGGCGCGCAGGCGACCCGGCAAGUACGGCAUGUGAAAACUCGAGGCUCAACCUCGAGCGUGCACCCGAUACUGCCGGGCUUGAGGCAGGUAGGGGAGAUCGGAAUUCCUGGUGUAGCGGUGAAAUGCGCAGAUAUCAGGAGGAACACCGGUGGCGAAGGCGGAUCUCUGGGCCUGUCCUGACGCUGAGGCGCGAAAGCUAGGGGAGCGAACAGG